ACUCCUACGGGAGGCUGCAGUGGGGAAUAUUGGACAAUGGGCGGAAGCCUGAUCCAGCAACGCCGCGUGAGGGAUGACGGCCUUCGGGUUGCAAACCUCUUUCAGCACAGACGAAGCGAAAGUGACGGUAUGUGCAGAAGAAGCACCGGCCAACUACGUGCCAGCAGCCGCGGUAAUACGUAGGGUGCGAGCGUUGUCCGGAAUUAUUGGGCGUAAAGGGCUCGUAGGCGGUUUGUCGCGUCGGGAGUGAAAACCAGAGGCUUAACUUCUGGCUGGCUUUCGAUACGGGCAGACUAGAGGUAUGCAGGGGAGAACGGAAUUCCUGGUGUAGCGGUGAAAUGCGCAGAUAUCAGGAGGAACACCGGUGGCGAAGGCGGUUCUCUGGGCAUUACCUGACGCUGAGGAGCGAAAGUGUGGGGAGCGAACAGGAUUAGAUACCCUGGUAGUCCACACCGUAAACGUUGGGCGCUAGGUGUGGGGCCUAUUCCAUGGGUUCCGUGCCGCAGCUAACGCAUUAAGCGCCCCGCCUGGGGAGUACGGCCGCAAGGCUAAAACUCAAAGGAAUUGACGGGGGCCCGCACAAGCGGCGGAGCAUGCGGAUUAAUUCGAUGCGACGCGAAGAACCUUACCUGGGUUUGACAUACACCGGAAAGCCUCAGAGAUGGGGCCCCUUUUGUCGGUGUACAGGUGGUGCAUGGCUGUCGUCAGCUCGUGUCGUGAGAUGUUGGGUUAAGUCCCGCAACGAGCGCAACCCUCGUUCUAUGUUGCCAGCACGUAAUGGUGGGGACUCAUAGGAGACUGCCGGGGUCAACUCGGAGGAAGGUGGGGAUGACGUCAAGUCAUCAUGCCCCUUAUGUCCAGGGCUUCACGCAUGCUACAAUGGCCGGUACAAAGGGCUGCGAUCCCGUAAGGGGGAGCGAAUCCCAAAAAGCCGGUCUCAGUUCGGAUUGGGGUCUGCAACUCGACCCCAUGAAGUCGGAGUCGCUAGUAAUCGCAGAUCAGCAACGCUGCGGUGAAUACGUUCCCGGGCCUUGUACACACCGCCCGU
RNAcentral lists this ribosomal RNA (1048 nucleotides) under uncultured bacterium. Its description in RNAcentral is "bacterial SSU rRNA". It matches the Rfam family "Bacterial small subunit ribosomal RNA", at positions 335 to 1397 of the family's 1533-position model. The record is from RNAcentral.